RNAcentral lists this long non-coding RNA (711 nucleotides) under Glycine max (soybean). RNAcentral's name for it is "long non-coding RNA (GMAX_LNC004003)". The record is from RNAcentral. Lineage: Eukaryota; Viridiplantae; Streptophyta; Magnoliopsida; Fabales; Fabaceae.
UUACACAUGGAUAUGGUCAAGGUAAUGUAUACGCAUUAGUUUUGAUUUUUUUAUUUUUUUGAAGUCAUUUUGUUUUAUAAUAUACAUAAAUCUUAUUUUAUGUAUCAUUAUUAUUAUGAAAACAUUUGUUUGAUAAUAAUAAUAAUGUUUUAUUAUUACAUUUUGCGUACCUCAAACGGAAGGGACACGUGUCCAAAAUUCAUUCGAUAUGUCCCUAUUAAAUUUGCUCCAAUCCAUUCCCCCAACCCCAACUCUUCCUCUUUUUACUUCCCCUAUGGCUCGUCACUCCUUGCUCUUAGCCCUCCUCCUCUUCGCCGCCGUGGCCACCGCCGCGAUGGCGGUGGCCGCGUCCGACGCCGACGACAUCCUGAUCCGUCAGGUGGUGCCAGAUGUUGGCGAAGCCGAAGAGGAGGACAACCUGCUGAACGCCGAGCACCACUUCGCGAGCUUCAAGGCCAAGUUCGCCAAGACCUACGCCACCAAGGAGGAGCACGAUCAUCGCUUCGGCGUCUUCAAGUCCAACCUCCGCAGAGCCAGGCUGCACGCCAAGCUCGACCCCUCCGCCGUCCACGGCGUCACCAAAUUCUCCGAUCUAACUCCGGCCGAGUUCCGCCGCCAGUUCCUCGGCCUCAAGCCGCUCCGCUUCCCGGCGCACGCCCAGAAGGCGCCCAUCCUCCCCACCAAGGAUCUCCCCAAGGAUUUCGAUUGGCG